AAUGGGGAGUUGUCGCCGGCAAAGUAGCCCCCGCCGACGGCUCCUUCCCGGGGGCGGGCCAAAAGCCCGUCCCUUGAAAUCAAGGCAUGAUGCGAUUUUCAGCAUCAUGCAGGGAUGCUUUCGAUGGAAAACGCCCCCCUCCGUCGAAAGCGGCGCGAUCGCACUCCAGUCGGUCGUGCAAUGCGGGCGGCGAAGUCCCCCAGCUUCGCCGCCCGUUCUC
This 220-nucleotide small RNA is filed under the name Afipia broomeae ATCC 49717. Its description in RNAcentral is "Bradyrhizobiaceae sRNA BjrC80". It matches the Rfam family "Bradyrhizobiaceae sRNA BjrC80". The record is from Rfam by way of RNAcentral. Lineage: Bacteria; Pseudomonadati; Pseudomonadota; Alphaproteobacteria; Hyphomicrobiales; Nitrobacteraceae.